AAUCAACGCUGGCGGCGUGCCUAACACAUGCAAGUCGAACGAGAAAGUGGAGCAAUCCAUGAGUACAGUGGCGCACGGGUGAGUAACACGUGACUAACCUGCCUUCGAGUGGGGAAUAACCUCGGGAAACCGGGGCUAAUACCGCAUAACAUCAUCGGGUGAAAUUCCUGCUGAUCAAAAGUUUUUUGCUUGAAGAGGGGGUCGCGGCUGAUUAGCUAGUUGGUGGGGUAACGGCCCACCAAGGCAGUGAUCAGUAGCCGGCCUGAGAGGGCGCACGGCCACACUGGAACUGAAACACGGUCCAGACUCCUACGGGAGGCAGCAGUGGGGAAUUUUGCGCAAUGGGGGAAACCCUGACGCAGCAACGCCGCGUGGAGGAUGAAGUCCCUUGGGACGUAAACUCCUUUCGAUCGGGAAGAAUAAUGACGGUACCGGAAGAAGAAGCCCCGGCUAACUUCGUGCCAGCAGCCGCCGUAA
RNAcentral lists this ribosomal RNA (477 nucleotides) under uncultured bacterium. RNAcentral's name for it is "partial 16S ribosomal RNA". It matches the Rfam family "Bacterial small subunit ribosomal RNA", at positions 32 to 523 of the family's 1533-position model. The record is from RNAcentral.